Molecule: ribozyme, 115 nt
Filed under: Aedes aegypti (yellow fever mosquito)
Lineage: Eukaryota; Metazoa; Arthropoda; Insecta; Diptera; Culicidae
Description: drz-agam-1 ribozyme
Rfam family: drz-agam-1 ribozyme
Source: Rfam by way of RNAcentral
UGCCCAGCAACUCCUAUCCCUACCUCCUCGUGGUACUGGCCGGGUACGAGUAACCUUAGAGAAGAUCGGGUAACCAACCCCGGUGGUAACUUUGGUCGUAUGCUGACAGGGAAGG